GAUGAACGCUGGCGGCGUGCCUAAUACAUGCAAGUCGAGCGAACGGACGAGAAGCUUGCUUUUCUGAUGUUAGCGGCGGACGGGUGAGUAACACGUGGAUAACCUACCUAUAAGACUGGGAUAACUUCGGGAAACCGGAGCUAAUACCGGAUAAUAUUUUGAACCGCAUGGUUCAAAAGUGAAAGACGGUCUUGCUGUCACUUAUAGAUGGAUCCGCGCUGCAUUAGCUAGUUGGUAAGGUAACGGCUUACCAAGGCAACGAUGCAUAGCCGACCUGAGAGGGUGAUCGGCCACACUGGAACUGAGACACGGUCCAGACUCCUACGGGAGGCAGCAUUAGGGAAUCUUCCGCAAUGGGCGAAAGCCUGACGGAGCAACGCCGCGUGAGUGAUGAAGGUCUUCGGAUCUUAAAACUCUGUUAUUAGGGAAGAACAUAUGUGUAAGUAACUGUGCACAUCUUGACGGUACCUAAUCAGAAAGCCACGGCUAACUACGUG
Molecule: ribosomal RNA, 497 nt
Filed under: uncultured bacterium
Lineage: Bacteria
Description: partial 16S ribosomal RNA
Rfam family: Bacterial small subunit ribosomal RNA
Source: RNAcentral